GACGAACGCUGGCGGCGUGCUUAACACAUGCAAGUCGAACGUGAUUUUUGUGGAAGUUCCUUCGGGAAUGGAAGCGAAAUGAAAGUGGCGAACGGGUGAGUAACACGUGAGCAGCCUACCUUACACAGGGGGAUAGCCGUUGGAAACGACGAUUAAUACCGCAUGAGACCACAGAAUCGCAUGAUAUAGGGGUCAAAGAUUUAUCGGUGUAAGAAGGGCUCGCGCCUGAUUAGCUAGUUGGAAGGGUAAAGGCCUACCAAGGCGACGAUCAGUAGCCGGUCUGAGAGGAUGAACGGCCACAUUGGAACUGAGACACGGUCCAAACUCCUACGGGAGGCAGCAGUGGGGAAUAUUGCACAAUGGGGGGAACCCUGAUGCAGCGACGCCGCGUGAGCGAAGAAGGUUUUCGAAUCGUAAAGCUCUGUCCUAUGAGAAGAUAAUGACGGUAUCAUAGGAGGAAGCCCCGGCUAAAUACGUGCCAGCAGCCGCGGUAAUACGUAUGGGGCGAGCGUUGUCCGGAAUUAUUGGGCGUAAAGGGUACGUAGGCGGUUUUUUAAGUCAGGUGUGAAAGCGUGAGGCUUAACCUCAUUAAGCACUUGAAACUGGAAGACUUGAGUGAAGGAGAGGAAAGUGGAAUUCCUAGUGUAGCGGUGAAAAUGCGUACAUAUUAAGAGGAAUACCGGUGGCGAAGGCGACUUUUCUGGACUUUUACUGAGGCUCGAGUAC
RNAcentral lists this ribosomal RNA (726 nucleotides) under uncultured Parvimonas sp. RNAcentral's name for it is "bacterial SSU rRNA". It matches the Rfam family "Bacterial small subunit ribosomal RNA", at positions 28 to 754 of the family's 1533-position model. The record is from RNAcentral. Lineage: Bacteria; Bacillati; Bacillota; Tissierellia; Tissierellales; Peptoniphilaceae.